This 366-nucleotide transfer-messenger RNA is filed under the name bacterium. Its description in RNAcentral is "JABSQX01 sp013215615 Standard tmRNA". It matches the Rfam family "transfer-messenger RNA". From Rfam's summary of the family: Bacterial tmRNA, also known as 10Sa RNA or SsrA, is named for its dual tRNA and mRNA-like properties. Its role is to liberate the mRNA from a stalled ribosome. RNAcentral also lists the same sequence under 1 other name. The record is from RNAcentral.
GGGGGCGAUCGGCUUCGACGGGUGGUCGAAGGCCGUCGCUGCGUGUCGAGGUCGUCACCUACCUCGUAAAACUGGUGGCACUAUUGGUAGUGAUAACUGCCGAUGACAACUACGCAAUCGCUGCCUAGCUAAUCCCUAGGUCAGUGACGCCCGUCCGCGACGUCUCCUAGCGGGCCGCGGGCGUCAUCAGGAGACUGGUCCCCGGUCGCUGGCAGACCGCAACCGGGGACGAGAACCAAGUCUGCCAAGGUGGGCGCUUCUCCUGCUUCCGUGACUGGCCCCACCGAGAUUGAGCGGAAGCUACACACGUAGACGCGGCGUCUGGGCGCCAUGCGGACGCGGGUUCGAUUCCCGCCGCCUCCACCA